This 864-nucleotide ribosomal RNA is filed under the name uncultured archaeon. RNAcentral's name for it is "bacterial SSU rRNA". It matches the Rfam family "Archaeal small subunit ribosomal RNA", at positions 39 to 909 of the family's 1478-position model. The record is from RNAcentral.
UGAUACUAAGCCAUGCGAGUCAUUGUAGCAAUACAAGGCAUACGGCUCAGUAACGCGUAGUCAACCUAACCUAUGGACGGGAAUAACCUCGGGAAACUGAGAAUAAUGCCCGAUAGAACAUUAUGCCUGGAAUGGUUUAUGUUCCAAAUGAUUUAUCGCCGUAGGAUGGGACUGCGGCCUAUCAGUUUGUUGGUGAGGUAAUGGCCCACCAAGACUAUUACAGGUACGGGCUCUGAGAGGAGUAGCCCGGAGAUGGGUACUGAGACACGGACCCAGGCCCUAUGGGGCGCAGCAGGCGAGAAAACUUUGCAAUGUGCGAAAGCACGACAAGGUUAAUCCGAGUGGUUUCUGCUAAAGGAACCUUUUGUCAGUCCUAGAAACACUGAUGAAUAAGGGGUGGGCAAGUUCUGGUGUCAGCCGCCGCGGUAAAACCAGCACCUCAAGUGGUCAGGAUGAUUAUUGGGCCUAAAGCAUCCGUAGCCGGCUCUGUAAGUUUUCGGUUAAAUCUGUACGCUCAACGUACAGGCUGCCGGGAAUACUGCAAAGCUAGGGAGUGGGAGAGGUAGACGGUACUCGGUAGGAAGGGGUAAAAUCCUUUGAUCUAUUGAUGACCACCUGUGGCGAAGGCGGUCUACCAGAACACGUCCGACGGUGAGGGAUGAAAGCUGGGGGAGCAAACCGGAUUAGAUACCCGGGUAGUCCCAGCUGUAAACCAUGCAAACUCAGUGAUGCAUUGGCUUGUGGCCAAUGCAGUGCUGCAGGGAAGCCGUUAAGUUUGCCGCCUGGGAAGUACGUACGCAAGUAUGAAACUUAAAGGAAUUGGCGGGGGAGCACCACAAGGGGUGAGGCCUGCGGUUCAAUUGG